RNAcentral lists this long non-coding RNA (1026 nucleotides) under Oreochromis niloticus (Nile tilapia). RNAcentral's name for it is "lncRNA (ENSONIG00000039887.1)". The record is from RNAcentral. Lineage: Eukaryota; Metazoa; Chordata; Actinopteri; Cichliformes; Cichlidae.
AUGGAUGGGACAGGCAGCAAAGCCUGCUCCCUCUCUCAGAGAGGCACAGCAAAGAAGGGCCAGCAUUUCUCAAAGUCAUGGGCCCCCUUGAGUCCGGCUACCCCCAUGUUCAAUGGUGAUCAAGUCUGGCUGGAGGAGCUGAUAGACCCUGCUUCUAACCAGUCCUCUCCCAGUCAGCCAUCUAGCCCCAGUGAUCCAAGCAGCAGUCCAGGAGGCAGCAGGAGUAGCAGUGACAGCACUGACAGCCUGCACAGCUGGAACUCUGGGGUGACCUGCAUCCUGCACAAGUCUAUCAAGAAGCAGAGCCAGGAAGCUUUUCAGACUCGGCUCAGAGGAGACAGAGAGUGGGAGAAGCUUGCAGCAGUUCCUUCUACCAGGCCUCAUGGCAGAGGACAUCCACAGGCAGAGCAGGGAGGAGACAGCCACAGCAGAAAUCUGCAUCAAGGGAGGGGCUCUGUACUGUCACACACCAGCUCUAAGAGCGGAAAACUACAGUGUGUACUGGAGGAAAAGAUUGAAGCCAAACUGAAGUUUUCGCAGUUCCUGGAUGAGGUGACGUCUAAUGUGCUUGACCCAAACAGCUUGCAGGCAUUUGGAAAACCAGCAUCUCCCUCUGGCUUCACCAAUACAAAUGCUGAUCAGCCUCAAGCAGAGAUCCACGUGGUGAGCCCCAGGCUACCCUGCUCAAUGGCCCAGCAGCAAGGCCCUUUAGCCGAGCAGAAGACUCCGGAAGAGCGGAUUUCUCCUGACCUGGUAGAAAAAAAGUAUCUGGAGACGGACAUCGACACUGUAAGGAAGGGCGAUGAGCUGCACGACCUGGAGAUAAAAGCAGACACACCAGAACAAAUAGAUGAGAAAUAUGUGAUUCCACCUCCUCCAGAGUUCCGUCAAGGAUUUAAGAUGAAGAGUCACUUUCCUGAGUUUCACUAUGACUUCCCCAGAUACCCCUACAGAUCUAUCUCUCUGCCCAGGGGCAUCAACAUGAUGCCUGACGAAGUGAUGAACAACAUAGACACCAUCAGGUAA